Sinocyclocheilus grahami is the source of this 480-nucleotide long non-coding RNA. RefSeq lists it as uncharacterized. The transcript has 3 exons. The record is from RefSeq and is a predicted model, not a curated record. Lineage: Eukaryota; Metazoa; Chordata; Actinopteri; Cypriniformes; Cyprinidae.
GAUGAAGAUGCAGCUCCAGGAGAUGAAGAUGAAGAGGAGGAUGAUGAGGAAGAGGGAGAAGAGGAGGAAGAAGAGGACAUCAGCGGAGAGGAAGAGGAGGAAGAGUUAAAUGACGGCGAGGUAGAUGAGGAAGACUUUGAGGAGGAGCGGGGUCAGAAGAGGAAAAGAGAGCUGGAUGAGGAAGGGGAGGAAGGGGAAGAAGAUGAUGACUGAACAUGCACUCCCCCUAUUGUGAUCUGACCGUUUAACCCCUGUAUAUCUGUCCUAUUGUCACUCUGCGACGGUUUGGGGAGGUUUUCAAAUGGUAGGGGGUGGGUUAGUAUAAACGAGGAUACAGAUUAAAUAUUUGUUUUUAGCUUUUUUGUUGUUGUUGUUGUUUUCUUUUGGUUUGGUUUGUACUUUCAGUUUGAUUCCCUUCAUUUUCUCCAAAAGUUCUUCAAAUGGCUGACAACACCGUGUGGGAAAAUUAUUAUUGUUGGA